Molecule: small nucleolar RNA, 132 nt
Filed under: Carlito syrichta (Philippine tarsier)
Lineage: Eukaryota; Metazoa; Chordata; Mammalia; Primates; Tarsiidae
Description: Small nucleolar RNA SNORA61 (ENSTSYG00000021025.2)
Rfam family: Small nucleolar RNA SNORA61
About the family: ACA61 is a member of the H/ACA class of snoRNA that guide the sites of modification of uridines to pseudouridines.
Source: Rfam by way of RNAcentral
ACCCACUGGUUCCUUUUCCUAUAGGAUCUGAACAUUGGUCUUGGUGGCCAUAAAACGAGGAAAAGUAAUACUGAAGUUGGCCUUACUGUGUUAUAUUCUGGUAUAAAGCAUGCGGGCUAUUUUCAAAAAAGG